GACGAACGCUGGCGGCGUGCUUAACACAUGCAAGUCGAGCGGUAAGGCCCCUUUGGGGGUACACGGGCGGCGAACGGGUGAGUAACACGUGGGUGACCUGCCCUCAGCUCUGGGAUAAGCCUGGGAAACUGGGUCUAAUACCGGAUAUGACUCCAUGACGCAUGUUGUGGGGUGGAAAGCCUUGUGCGGCUGGGGAUGGGCCCGCGGCCUAUCAGCUUGUUGGUGGGGUGAUGGCCUACCAAGGCGACGACGGGUAGCCGGCCUGAGAGGGCGACCGGCCACACUGGGACUGAGACACGGCCCAGACUCCUACGGGAGGCAGCAGUGGGGAAUCUUGCGCAAUGGGCGAAAGCCUGACGCAGCGACGCCGCGUGAGGGAUGACGGCC
This 387-nucleotide ribosomal RNA is filed under the name uncultured bacterium. RNAcentral describes it as "bacterial SSU rRNA". It matches the Rfam family "Bacterial small subunit ribosomal RNA", at positions 28 to 416 of the family's 1533-position model. The record is from RNAcentral.